CCCUUAGAUGUCCUGGGCCGCACGCGCGCUACACUGAGUGUCUGAGAUACGAGUCUGCCUGGUCCGGCAAGGUCUAGGUAAUCGCGAAAAGACACAUCAUGCUUGGGAUAGAUUAUUGCAAAUAUUAAUCUUGAACGAGGAAUUCCUAGUAAGCGCAAGUCAACAGCUUGCGUUGAUUACGUCCCUGCCCUUUGUACACACCGCCCGUCGCUACUACUGAUUGGAUGUUUAAGCGAGGUUCUCGAACUGCUAGCGACUUAGCUUCGGUGAGGUCGCAGUGUGGGAAGUGAACCUAGCUUUGGUGUCUAGAGGAAGUAAAAGUCGUAACA
Molecule: ribosomal RNA, 329 nt
Filed under: uncultured eukaryote
Lineage: Eukaryota
Description: partial 18S ribosomal RNA
Rfam family: Eukaryotic small subunit ribosomal RNA
Source: RNAcentral